Molecule: ribosomal RNA, 478 nt
Filed under: uncultured bacterium
Lineage: Bacteria
Description: partial 16S ribosomal RNA
Rfam family: Bacterial small subunit ribosomal RNA
Source: RNAcentral
GAUGAACGCUGGCGGCGUGCCUAACACAUGCAAGUCGAACGGAGUCCAGCCUUAGAGACCUUCGGGUCAAAGAGGGGAAGACUGAGUGGCGGACGGGUGAGUAACACGUGGGCAACCUGGCUCAUAGAGGGGGAUAACAGAGAGAAAUUUCUGCUAAUACCGCAUAAGCACACACUGCCGCAUGGCAGAGUGUGAAAAGAGAAUCGCUAUGAGAUGGACCCGCGUCUGAUUAGCCAGUUGGUAGGGUAAGAGCCUACCAAAGCGACGAUCAGUAGCCGAUUUGAGAGGAUGAACGGCCACAUUGGGACUGAGACACGGCCCAAACUCCUACGGGAGGCAGCAGUGGGGGAUAUUGCACAAUGGGGGGAACCCUGAUGCAGCGACGCCGCGUGAGUGAAGAAGUAUUUCGGUAUGUAAAGCUCUAUCAGCAGGGAAGAUAAUGACAGUACCUGAAGAAGAAGCCCCGGCUAACUACGUG